CCAAUACAUCAAAAGGUUAAGUACUUAUUGAGAUCAUGUUAUAGCCAAAACUUUAAGCCGCAUCUCUUAUUAUUUUAGCAUGAAAUUAAGACAGCAACUUUCGUUAUAAAUUCAUUAGUGUUUGGUGCAAUUGAUGGAAAGCAUGGCUAGGAAUCAAAAGUUUAUUCAUGUUUUUGUGUGUGCCAACCUCUUCAUCUUCGUCCACUUUACUUGCUCAGGAGUCUACGCCACAAACAACUGUAAGCCAUAUAGUUAUGGUGAUUGUAUCAGAUGUUGGAGAGCGAGCGUAACGUGGUCGGGUGUUUGCACCCCAAAUUGUGCAAAGCAAUGCAUGGAAUGGGAGUCUGCAGACGGGGGAGGUUGUUCGUGGCUUUUCAAAUGCGACUGCGUCUUCAUCUACUCGCAACUACCCACGGGUAAAGGUCACAUUUGUGGCAUCACUAGUAUCGCCUCUAUCAAGCGACUUGUGGGUGGCUAGCUAUUGUACCUUUCCAAGACGCCAAUAUUGCACCAUAUGUCCCAUAAGAUGCACAAACCUCAUUCUAAAAAGGUUAUGGGUUAUAUCAGUCACAAUAUGUUGGAGUGAUGCUUUUCACGGCGUGGUUGAAUCGCCUAUUAUUUCAAAAUUUCUUCAUAAGAUUCCAACUCCUGCAAAGAUUAAUAUUCUCAAGUUUUUUUUUUUUUUUUUUUUUUUUUUUUUCUAAAUCUUCAUUUUCCCAAGUUAAUUCUCAGCACUCAAGAACGAACCUCCAAAAAAAAAUAUUGAGAAAUUUGCUCCUUUAUUUUCGGCAUGCACCCAUACUUUAAUUUAUUUCUAUUUCUCUACAAAUUAUAGACUAUUUCACAAAAAGCUAAUCGACACAAAUAAGUUCUAAAAGAUUUAUUCCUUCAAACUUUAAUAACAAAAAUAGGCCAAAAUUUCUAUAAAGCAAAAAUGGGCCAAAAUUUCUGUACCAUAUCACUGUUAUACAUGCCUCCAAAGUUAGCAAAAUAAUCCUGAUCAUCAUUCCCCCUUAUCGGAUUAAAAUCCAACGGCAGCAAAGAGUAAUCUAGUGGCUUCACGCAAGAUAUAGGCUGCGGGUAAUUAAUCCCCUCUACUUCCAUAUUCUUCUGAAGUAUCAUCGCCUGAGUACCCAUUAUUCUUGAUGUUGUAUCUUUCAUGAUCACCAUAUAAUCAUUCUUUUUCUUUUUCUUUUUCAAAUGAGCUGGGGGGGCCAUGGCCCCCUACUGGCCACCUCCCAGCUCCGUCUCUGGCCUGAAGUUUGAUUUGGUCCAGAAGUCCUAUCCUCAUUCAACUGAGAGUUGAAUUGUUAACUAGAUUCUUCAAGAGUCCUUCUUAGACCCGAAUUGGGACUACUACCCCAAUUCGACUUGGAGUAUGGUUAUUCACAACAUUAAUAAUGAUUUGGCUGAAAUUAAAUAUUUCAUGGUUUGUUUGUGUCACUAGAAAGAAUAAAAAUAGAGAUGACCUAUUUUACGGUUACAAUUUUUGUUUUGUUACAUCCAACAUUGUAAAUUUUCUACAUAUCAUUUAAAAAUUUUAAAUGGCAUGAAAAUAUAUUCACCAUGUGACAAUAUAUAUACUAUUAAUUAUAUCAGUGAAAUUUAAUCUGAACCAUGAAAUGAAACCUUUCUAUAUCUCUUGAAAUAUAGAUUAUCCUAAUCCCGCUACUAAGGCCACGUACACUUGACCUUGUAAGGGGUUUGAACCCUUGUUCUUUCACUCUUUGGUAGAGAGAGUCAUCAGAGCCCUUGAUUGUUACUCUUCUUUGGUGUGGCAGCAAGAGAUCUAAAAUAAAAGCAAUUAUCUUUCCAUGUGCUUUUGUGAUUUGUUUGAGAGAGAGAGUUUGGCUAUUUGAGCUUGUAGUUUUUUCAAAUUCGAUAAGAUAAUUUGAGAGAAUCCUGAUCUAAGCGUGACAUGAUCAAGUAUUUGUAUUAGUUAUAGAAAUUUUGUCGAGCAAUGCCAAAAGUGAGAGUUUGCAACCAGUGGAGGUUGUUCACUAAUUGUAAUAAAAUGUUGGUAUAUAUGUGUGUGUGUGUGUGGGGGGGAAGGUUUGUGCCUCUUUUUUCUUGAGAAGGUUCUUUCUUGGAUGAAGCAAAUCAAUGAAAUCUCUAUCAUUUUUCUAUUUCAAAAAAGAAAAGCAAGGUUCUUCCUGCAUAUUACUCAAA
Alnus glutinosa is the source of this 2169-nucleotide RNA transcript. RefSeq lists it as uncharacterized. NCBI's taxonomy places the organism in Eukaryota, Viridiplantae, Streptophyta, Magnoliopsida, Fagales, Betulaceae. The record is from RefSeq and is a predicted model, not a curated record. The transcript is spliced from 4 exons.